AGUAGUUGUAUUAGUGCUACAAGAACGACGCUGGCGGCAGGCCCUAACACAUGCAAGUCGAACGCCCUAGCAAUAGGGAGUGGCGCACGGGUGCGUAACGCGUGGGAAUAUGCCCUUCACUGCGGAAUAACGUUUGGAAACGAACGCUAAUACCGCAUAAUGACUCCGGUCCAAAGAUUUAUCGGUGAAGGAUUAGCCCGCGUUAGAUUAGCUAGUUGGUGAGGUAAUGGCUCACCAAGGCGACGAUCUAUAGCUGGUCUGAGAGGAUGAUCAGCCACACUGGGACUGAGACACGGCCCAGACUCCUACGGGAGGCAGCAGUGAGGAAUAUUGGACAAUGGGCGCAAGCCUGAUCCAGCCAUGCCGCGUGAGUGAAGAAGGCCUUCGGGUUGUAAAGCUCUUUCAGAUGUGAGGAUAAUGACGGUAGCAUCAGAAGAAGCCCCGGCUAAAUUCGUG
This 456-nucleotide ribosomal RNA is filed under the name uncultured bacterium. RNAcentral describes it as "bacterial SSU rRNA". It matches the Rfam family "Bacterial small subunit ribosomal RNA", at positions 1 to 507 of the family's 1533-position model. The record is from RNAcentral.